GGAACUGCAUUCGAAACUGGCAGGCUUGAGUCUUGUAGAGGGGGGUAGAAUUCCAGGUGUAGCGGUGAAAUGCGUAGAGAUCUGGAGGAAUACCGGUGGCGAAGGCGGCCCCCUGGACAAAGACUGACGCUCAGGUGCGAAAGCGUGGGGAGCAAACAGGAUUAGAUACCCUGGUAGUCCACGCCGUAAACGAUGUCUACUUGGAGGUUGUGCCCUUGAGGCGUGGCUUCCGGAGCUAACGCGUUAAGUAGACCGCCUGGGGAGUACGGCCGCAAGGUUAAAACUCAAAUGAAUUGACGGGGGCCCGCACAAGCGGUGGAGCAUGUGGUUUAAUUCGAUGCAACGCGAAGAACC
RNAcentral lists this ribosomal RNA (354 nucleotides) under Salmonella enterica. RNAcentral's name for it is "bacterial SSU rRNA". It matches the Rfam family "Bacterial small subunit ribosomal RNA", at positions 617 to 970 of the family's 1533-position model. Lineage: Bacteria; Pseudomonadati; Pseudomonadota; Gammaproteobacteria; Enterobacterales; Enterobacteriaceae. RNAcentral also lists the same sequence under 1 other name. The record is from RNAcentral.